This 484-nucleotide ribosomal RNA is filed under the name uncultured bacterium. Its description in RNAcentral is "bacterial SSU rRNA". It matches the Rfam family "Bacterial small subunit ribosomal RNA", at positions 501 to 986 of the family's 1533-position model. The record is from RNAcentral.
CUACGUGCCAGCAGCCGCGGUAAUACGUAGGUGGCGAGCGUUGUCCGGAAUCAUUGGGCGUAAAGGGUGCGUAGGUGGUCCUUCAAGUCGGUGGUUAAAGGCUACGGCUCAACCGUAGUAAGCCGCCGAAACUGGAGGACUUGAGUGCAGGAGAGGAAAGUGGAAUUCCCAGUGUAGCGGUGAAAUGCGUAGAUAUUGGGAGGAACACCAGUAGCGAAGGCGGCUUUCUGGACUGCAACUGACACUGAGGCACGAAAGCGUGGGUAGCAAACAGGAUUAGAUACCCUGGUAGUCCACGCUGUAAACGAUGAGUACUAGGUGUCGGGGGUUACCCCCCUCGGUGCCGCAGCUAACGCAUUAAGUACUCCGCCUGGGGAGUACGCACGCAAGUGUGAAACUCAAAGGAAUUGACGGGGACCCGCACAAGUAGCGGAGCAUGUGGUUUAAUUCGAAGCAACGCGAAGAACCUUACCUAAGCUUGACA